Molecule: long non-coding RNA, 871 nt
Organism: Oncorhynchus kisutch (coho salmon)
Lineage: Eukaryota; Metazoa; Chordata; Actinopteri; Salmoniformes; Salmonidae
Exons: 2
Source: RefSeq, a predicted model, not a curated record
UCUCUAGGUGUGUAGGAGGUUGAAUGGUUCAGGUUAACCAGCUGUAAAAGUGCCAAAGACAGGACCUCCAUGUCUGUGACUUAGAACAGUGUAUGUUGCUAAGAGACGAACACACACUCAGCAAGGAGCACUUUAACAGAGCACUGGACUGCAUGAGGAGGGAGGGCUGUAGAAUGGAGAACGUUGAGAAGAACAUCAGAAGCAGGAAGUAUGCUUUCAACAGCAUCCAGCUGAAGACCUUCCCUAAACCCUACCGCCCUCCGGAGGGCACCUACGGGAAAGUAGACACUUAGAAGGAGGACGAGAGAGAAGGGGUGGAAUGAUUGAGGGAUGAAUGAAGAACGGAUGGAUGGAUGGAUGGAGAACUAUAGAGGGAUAGAAGGAUGAAGAGCCUGGAAAAUAGACACUUAGGAGGAGGACGAGAGAGAAGGGGUGGAAUGAUUGAGGGAUGAAUGAAGAACGGAUGGAGAACUAUAGAGGGAUAGAAGGAUGAAGAGACUGGAAAAUAGACACUUAGGAGGAGGACGAGAGAGAAGGGGUGGAAUGAUUGAGGGAUGAAUGAAGAACGGAUGGAGAACUAUAGAGGGAUAGAAGGAUGAAGAGACUGGAAAAUAGACACUUAGGAUAACAUGGAGGGAAGUGUUGUAUGUUUAAUUCUGUAAAUAUUGAGUUUGAAAAAAUAAUGAAAAAACAUUUUUAAAAGCUCAAGUGUUUUCCACACGUUUUCACACAACAUGAAGUAACAUAGUAGCCUACUAGUUCUAGUUAGGAAGCGAGGAAGUCCAUAUUAUGGUGCAACAACACGUUCAGACCACUAGAUGGCGCUACUCGUGUAGCUCAGCCAUACCGCCUGAAACUCUGUCUCCCUCCA